RNAcentral lists this unclassified non-coding RNA (3593 nucleotides) under Portunus trituberculatus (swimming crab). RNAcentral describes it as "uncharacterized LOC123519677, transcript variant X3". Lineage: Eukaryota; Metazoa; Arthropoda; Malacostraca; Decapoda; Portunidae. The record is from RNAcentral.
GAAGGAAAUGAGAGAGAGAGAGAGAGAGAGAGAGAGAGAGAGAGAGAGAGAGAGAGAGAGAGAGAGAAGAGAAGAAAGAGUGAGAGAGUGAGAGGUAGGCAGUGAGAGGGAGGAGUGCCCAACCCAAACGCCUCAAGACUCACACUAAAACCGCACACCAACCAACCAACUGAGCCAAGAAAACAAGAGGUGACCAACCCCACUCAGAAGAAUCCUCGCGCAGGCUCGCCAGCUCAGUCACCCGCAAGACGUCAGACGGGAGAGGAGUGUGUACCUGUCUCUCUCUCCUGGGCCGCUGCACCCACCUGUCUUGCCCUUGCCUCUCCCUCCCUCCCCUCCCCAUCCGUUACCUUGAAGACGGGCUUACCUGGGAGGCAUACAGAGGCAGAUAAAAAAGACAUACGUUAAAGAGAGAGAGAGAGAAAGACUUAAUAUUAUAGAGAAGGACGUUAAAUACUAGAGAGGGAAAAAAAAUGAACGUGAAACAUUUAUUUGUGACAAGACGAAAAGGAAACUAUUCAGAAGAAUUGUGAAGAUAGUUUUUUGUGGUAUUUCCGAAGCUUGGAUAGUGAGUGGGAGUGAACACACACACACACACACACACACACAAGGUGACCAUGAGCAGCACAACAGAUUCAUUACUUACAAUGUUACCGCCGCUGGUGCUGUGAUGCUGAGACGCCCAACCUACACCUCGCCGCGCCCUUCCCUCCCCUGCCCUGCCCUGUCCUGCCUUACCGAGCCAUAUCCUGCCAUACCCUGCCUGUCCACGCCCCACGGUAACAACAGGAAAACAUAAGCGCAAUGGACUCCUUUGCGCAACACAGCACCACCACCGCUACCACCACCACCACCACAGCUGUCAACAGAAGACCCUCCCGCAGCAGGCAUUUAGCGCACAGCCUCAUCUACCUCCUCCUGGGCACCACCAUUGCUAGAGCGCAGUGUCCGUGGCCCCGGGAAGUGGUAGAAUUGAACGGGUCUUGCCUCUGUGCUUAUAACCUUAGGAAUGAGUUGUCUAUUCAGUGCACGUCUGUUAACUUCACGCUGCUCAUGACGGUACUACAUCAAAGGGCUGCUAGCGUACCGUUGGACUUGCUGUAUGUAAAUGGUACGCGCAUCAGUGCCCUAAAUGAUCGCACCUUUGAUGGUCUCAGCGUGGAGAAUAUACAGUUCUCCUCCUGCGGGAUUUACAACAUAAGCGACGGCGCAUUUAGAGGACUAGAAGACAAGCUGAAGAAUCUAAACUUACAAGAUAACAGGAUCUCGGAGGUCCCCACUGCUGCUCUUUCUAAAUUAAGAAGAUUGAAGCUGCUGGAUCUAUCUGGGAACCUCCUGACGAAUAUUCCCAAAGAUGCCUUCAAGGGGCUCAGGCUGUCCACUCUCAAGCUGGCAGAGAACGACUUGGUGCUGUCCGAGGGCGCUUUUGCUGGCUUAGAAUCGACCCUGAAGAACUUGAACCUGAAGGAGACGAAGCAAAAGACAAUACCGAAGGCCAUUAUUAACCUGCCUGUUCUUGCCUUCCUCGACAUUGCACAGAACGAGAUACGGAGUCUGGAGAAAGGUAUUUUGAAGAACCUGCACUCCCUGACGGCGCUCAACCUGGAGAGAAACACACUGCAGAGCCUGGUACCGGAGGACUUCACAGGGAUUAACGACACUCUCUCCUCUCUUUCCCUGCUCAACAAUCUCAUCACUGGCUUCCCUGUGCGGGCCUUCAACUCUCUUUCCGAACUGAGGGUCCUGGAUAUUGGCUUCAACCUCAUCCCUGAGAUCCCGGUGGAAGGCUUCAGGGGCAUCAAGUCCCUAACGCUCCUUGCUCUGGAUGGCAACCCCUUAACCAUUGUCCCUGAGUCAGCCUUCGCUCACCUUACGUCCUCGCUAAGGGGACUGUCAUUAGGCGGUCGUUUUCUGAAGUGUGACUGUCGCAUGGCAUGGGUACCUCGGUGGAUCACUGAGUAUGACCUGCAGGUGACAUCUCGUGAGCGCAAUCCUCAGUUCUGCGGCCAACCUCCUGAGCACCGUGACAAAUCCUUCUACCAGCUCAAUGAGGCAGAGAUGACAUGUGAAGAUGGCUCCUCCCCAGUUUUCUCUCUCCCUCCUCCUGCUUCCACCACCUCACCUCCCAAAACAUCUACCUCCUCCUCUUCAUCCACAUCUUUUUCCUCCCCUUCUACAACCAAGCGUGCUACCACCACCACCGCUGUCAGUACGACGACUACGUCCACUACUGCUAAACCUGAGGCAGCAUCAUUCCGUCCUGGUGAGGUGCUUCAUGCUGGCUCAAGUGGCACAGGUCAUGUUGGGUCAGUACAGCGUGGCCCUGGAGGGGAGGCACCAAGACGAGGAGGAGGAAGAGGAGGGAGACCAGGAAAUGACAUCCCUCCUCCUCCUCCACCACCCACUAGGUCACAGCAACGCCCAACCACCGUUCUUGAGAGGCCAGCCAAUCAACCUGUGCCUUCUUCUCCCUCAAGACCUAACCUGGUACUGAGGAACAAGGAGCAGGAUGGCCAUGAUGACAGGUUCUUUGGCCAGGCUUCAGGACCUUAUGUAGAGGAGGUCAUCGUGCAGGAUGCCUACAGAAAGGAGAACUCAGUCAUCAUCCAGUGGGACUCAGAGGUGUCCAAUAUUCUUGGCUUCAGGGUUGUAUACAGACUCUUUGGGGACAAGACAUUCAAGCUUGGACCGCCUCUAGCUGCCUCAGAGCGAGAGUUCAAGAUCAAGAAUGUCCCCACCCAGGAAUGUAUUGUGGUGUGCGUUGUUUCACUGGAAGACACCAACGUGACACCCGACAGCGUUCAAAAUUCCCAGUGCCGAGAGAUUCGCACAGAGACCUCAGCAGCAAUGCACAUGGACACAAUCAUCAUAGCAGCGUCAGCAGCAAUCUGUGGUACCGUCAUCAUUGCAGUGGUCGUCUUCAUCUGCUGCAACAGAAAACGUGGCAGUGACUCAAGGGAGAAGCAUGGCAUUCCUUCAGUUCUUGGUGCAUCUUCACCUCCCUUAGCCUCCCUUGGAACCCUCGGUGCAGGUGUUGGGGGCACAAGUGGAAAGCCAGACUGGGACACCCUCUCCAUGUAUUCUCAGAGAUCUAUUCCCCGAGCUAGGAUGUACCAUAUGGAUAAAGGCUCAGUAAACAAUGGAUUUGUGCCUGAUGAUGCGCGGUCCCACUUCUCUCAUGCCUCGUCCAGACACAUCCCCCGUGCGCGCUCCAUGGCAGAUGGACAGAGCCAGAGGUCCUAUUCAGCCCUCAGUGCCUCUAAUCUUCGUGCCCCAAGCUUCUCUGCAGGGUUGGGACUCUCCAGACAAGGCUCUGCGUCGGGUAGUGUGUGGCGCGAGGCUCUCUUAAACGACUCAGCACUCGGGCGUCAAGGCCUCGUCCGGCUGUGAUGGUGGUGGUGGUGGUGGUGAAGCAGCCCCCCACUCUAGUCCCUCCUCCCUCCACCCCCUCCCUCAGACCUCAGCCUGUCGCGCCAGUCCCUCGCCACCACACACUUCAGUGGCUCAGCUUUUGGACCAAUAGCAGUGAAUCCCAAUGCCACGCCCUAUGUUAUGGGAGGGCCCGGAUCCACUGUAGGCAUGCCUCGAGUCAC